GACGAACGCUGGCGGCGUGCUUAACACAUGCAAGUCGAACGGAAAGGCCCUGCUUUUGUGGGGUGCUCGAGUGGCGAACGGGUGAGUAACACGUGAGUAACCUGCCCUUGACUUUGGGAUAACUUCAGGAAACUGGGGCUAAUACCGGAUAGGAGCUCCUGCUGCAUGGUGGGGGUUGGAAAGUUUCGGCGGUUGGGGAUGGACUCGCGGCUUAUCAGCUUGUUGGUGGGGUAGUGGCUUACCAAGGCUUUGACGGGUAGCCGGCCUGAGAGGGUGACCGGAGCAAUGGGGACUGAGGUACGGCGCAAGACCCCAUGGGGCGGAAGAGGGGGGAAGGUGACACAAGCGGGGGGAGGCUGAUGCGCGAACGCCGGGGGCGGGGGGAGGGCGUGGGGGUUGGAAACAGGUUUCCCCGGUGACGAAGCGGGAGUGGCGGUAAUGGGUAAAGGAGCAACGGCUAACUACGC
RNAcentral lists this ribosomal RNA (467 nucleotides) under uncultured bacterium. Its description in RNAcentral is "partial 16S ribosomal RNA". It matches the Rfam family "Bacterial small subunit ribosomal RNA", at positions 28 to 506 of the family's 1533-position model. The record is from RNAcentral.